CCUUCCAGCAGGCUGUGCUUGCAGACGCCAUGGAGCCUCACUUGGGGAUUUUCUGAACUCUGUGGAUGUACAGUAAGAUGCAGUUGCCUGGGGGG
Molecule: long non-coding RNA, 95 nt
Organism: Neotoma lepida (desert woodrat)
Lineage: Eukaryota; Metazoa; Chordata; Mammalia; Rodentia; Cricetidae
Rfam family: Pvt1 oncogene conserved region 3
Source: Rfam